Molecule: ribosomal RNA, 495 nt
Filed under: uncultured bacterium
Lineage: Bacteria
Description: partial 16S ribosomal RNA
Rfam family: Bacterial small subunit ribosomal RNA
Source: RNAcentral
GAUGAACGCUAGCGGGAGGCCUAACACAUGCAAGCCGAGUGGUAUUGUUUCUUCGGAAAUGAGAGAGCGGCGUACGGGUGCGUAACACGUGUGCAACCUGCCUUUAUCUGGGGGAUAGCCUUUCGAAAGGAAGAUUAAUACUCCAUAAUAUAUUGAACGGCAUCGUUUAAUAUUGAAAGCUCCGGCGGAUAGAGAUGGGCACGCGCAAGAUUAGCUAGUUGGUGAGGUAACGGCUCACCAAGGCGAUGAUCUUUAGGGGGCCUGAGAGGGUGAUCCCCCACACUGGUACUGAGACACGGACCAGACUCCUACGGGAGGCAGCAGUGAGGAAUAUUGGUCAAUGGGUGCAAGCCUGAACCAGCCAUCCCGCGUGAAGGACGACUGCCCUAUGGGUUGUAAACUUCUUUUGUAUAGGGAUAAACCUACCCUCGAGAGGGUAGCUGAAGGUACUAUACGAAUAAGCACCGGCUAACUCCGUGCCAGCAGCCGCCGUAA